Anopheles cruzii is the source of this 762-nucleotide long non-coding RNA. RefSeq lists it as uncharacterized. NCBI's taxonomy places the organism in Eukaryota, Metazoa, Arthropoda, Insecta, Diptera, Culicidae. The transcript has 3 exons. The record is from RefSeq and is a predicted model, not a curated record.
AAACAAGUGCGAAGUGAACAAAUUUACAAAACCGACUUAAUAAACGAUUGCAGUCAAAAUGAAGUCGAAGAAGUUCAAGGCAUUAAUUAAGAAAGAGGAUGGUGUUGCCGUGAAAAUAUGUCGAUGGUGUCUGACGGCUGAUGAUGCUUUGCAAGCUCUAACGCGCGACGAUUCCGGACAAUAUAAACUUCAAAAACUUUUCGACUUUACCGGUCUACAGAUUUAAUUAUCUCCUGGAGUUCCAUCGUAUUUGUGCACGAUGUGCGAAGCGCGUUUGAAAAAGAUGGAUCGGUUUCGCUGGCGAUGCAAUGAAAAGAUUGAUUUGGUCGAUAAAUUUAUCCAACAGCAGAACACAGCAAAGAACGCAACAGAAAUCACUCAAGAUCAUCUUGACCUCAAGACCAUCUUGGUCGGCACAGAACUGUCAAUUAAAACUGAAGUGACCUCAUCGGAUGCAGCGAAGGAUUUGAACUUGAAUCAGAAGUGUUAUACUGUUCAUCAAGCGAAUAGGACAUAUGAAUGUUGUGGCCACAUACCUGAUGAUUUAUUCGAGGCAGAAGAAAAUCCAAUUGCAAUCAAAUCAGAGUAUGAAGAGGUCGAAGAACAGGAUCAGCUGCUAACAACGAAUGAUGUUCUGGUUCAUGAACAGGAUAACCUCAUAAGCUCUCGGAAAAAACAAAAGCACCACUGUCCUCAUUGUUCAUCAAUGUUCGCACCGCCAUCUAACCUAAAGAGACAUAUCCGCACUCACACUGGCGAAAA